UUUCCUUCUAAGCUUCAGUUGACAAUAUGUAUUAUUGUGCUUUGAUUAUCAUGUUUAAUAGCUCAAAUUCAUGAAGUUGCAUGUUCUUGAAAUCUGAAUUGGGAGCUUAGUUAUCAGUUUAAACAAAUUAAACAUGUUAGACUUGAAUUUGACUUAGGAGAAAACUAUAGGUUCUACACUGUCAUUUUCUAAAAACUAUCAGAUAGCUCCUUAAGCUAUUGCGCUUUGUAUCCACGCUGUUAGUCCGCAUUUAAUACUCAGAUAGUUUCUGAAGCUGUUGCGUUUCGUAUCCACGAUGUUAGUGCGCAUUUGAUACUCGGAUAGCUUCUGAAGCUGUUGCGGUUCGUAUCUACGCUCUUAGUGUACAUUUGAUACGCAGAUAGUUUAGGAGCUAUAGUUUAUUUGUAUCGCCGUAGUUAUCAGUGGAUACCCAGGAUAGUGUAGAAUGUAUUUACGCUCGUGCUGGGAUGCCGAGCUUAUUUUUACAGCAGUGUUUAGGCUGUUUCGGACUAUCGGGUGCCGUUGAGAUUGACAGUGCACCCAGAUUACUGUUUUUGCAUCAGAUUGUGCCGAGGGCACGUGAGUUUAGUUGUUAG
RNAcentral lists this long non-coding RNA (596 nucleotides) under Ananas comosus (pineapple). RNAcentral describes it as "long non-coding RNA (ACOM_LNC009935)". Lineage: Eukaryota; Viridiplantae; Streptophyta; Magnoliopsida; Poales; Bromeliaceae. The record is from RNAcentral.